GAGUUUACCUCUGUUAUCGGUUGCUUGUGUUAUGGUUUCAUACAACCAAUCUUGGCGCCUCAGUUAAGGAAGCUGGGUCAAAAUAGCGUACAGAUUGGUCUUGUUUUCUUCUUCUUUGCCGGUUUUAACGCCCUCUCAGCGAUAGCACUGGGCUUUAUAGCAGACAAAACGAAAUGUUACCGAUUGCUGCUCCUGUUUGGUGUGGUCACUUUCAGUAUUGGAUACCUGUUGUUAGGACCUGCUCCAUUUUUACCAUUUCUUCCCGCUGA
This is a non-coding RNA of Pocillopora verrucosa, 269 nucleotides long. The record is from RefSeq and is a predicted model, not a curated record. NCBI's taxonomy places the organism in Eukaryota, Metazoa, Cnidaria, Anthozoa, Scleractinia, Pocilloporidae.